UAGGGAAUCUUCCACAAUGGACGCAAGUCUGAUGGAGCAACGCCGCGUGAGUGAAGAAGGUCUUCGGAUCGUAAAACUCUGUUGUUAGAGAAGAACACGAGUGAGAGUAACUGUUCAUUCGAUGACGGUAUCUAACCAGCAAGUCACGGCUAACUACGUGCCAGCAGCCGCGGUAAUACGUAGGUCCCGAGCGUUGUCCGGAUUUAUUGGGCGUAAAGCGAGCGCAGGCGGUUCGAUAAGUCUGAAGUUAAAGGCUGUGGCUCAACCAUAGUUCGCUUUGGAAACUGUCAAACUUGAGUGCAGAAGGGGAGAGUGGAAUUCCAUGUGUAGCGGUGAAAUGCGUAGAUAUAUGGAGGAACACCGGUGGCGAAAGCGGCUCUCUGGUCUGUAACUGACGCUGAGGCUCGAAAGCGUGGGGAGCGAACAGGAUUAGAUACCCUGGUAGUCCACGCCGUAAACGAUGAGUGCUAGGUGUUGGAUCCUUUCCGGGAUUCAGUGCCGUAGCUAACGCAUUAAGCACUCCGCCUGGGGAGUACGACCGCAAGGUUG
This 549-nucleotide ribosomal RNA is filed under the name uncultured bacterium. RNAcentral's name for it is "bacterial SSU rRNA". It matches the Rfam family "Bacterial small subunit ribosomal RNA", at positions 355 to 896 of the family's 1533-position model. The record is from RNAcentral.